ACGGGGUGCAGCAGGCGCGAAACCUUUACAAUGCACGAAAGUGUGAUAAGGGAAUCCUAAGUGCUCAUGCAUAGCAUGGGCUUUUGCUAAGGGUAAAUACCUUGGAGAAUAAGCAGUGGGCAAGACUGGUGCCAGCAGCCGCGGUAACACCAGCGCUGCAAGUGGGGAUCUUUUUUAUUGGGCCUAAAGCGUCCGUAGCUGGUUUAGUAAAUCUUUUGUGAAAUCGUUAAGCUCAACUUAACGGCAUGCAGGAGACACUGCUUGACUUGAGACCGGGAGAGGUAAGGAGUAUUUUGGGGGAACCGGUAAAAUGGGAUAAUCCUCGAAGGACUACCUGUGGCGAAGGCGCCUUACCAGAACGGAUCUGACAGUGAGGGACGAAGGCUAGGGGAGCAAACCGGAUUAGAUACCCGAGUAGUCCUAGCAGUAAACGCUGCGAGCAAGGCGCUGCAUAUUCUAAUGGAAUAUGCAGUGUCGUAACGAAGGUGUUAAGCUCGCCGCCUGGGAAGUAUGGUCGCAAGACUGAAACUUAAAGGAAUUGGCGGGGGAGCAC
This 553-nucleotide ribosomal RNA is filed under the name uncultured archaeon. RNAcentral's name for it is "bacterial SSU rRNA". It matches the Rfam family "Archaeal small subunit ribosomal RNA", at positions 325 to 879 of the family's 1478-position model. The record is from RNAcentral.